Molecule: long non-coding RNA, 1176 nt
Organism: Nematostella vectensis (starlet sea anemone)
Lineage: Eukaryota; Metazoa; Cnidaria; Anthozoa; Actiniaria; Edwardsiidae
Exons: 2
Source: RefSeq, a predicted model, not a curated record
GGGGGGUAAUCGUCCGGUAAGGAAAAAUUGAAAGGGUCAUCAGGUUAGUGAGAAACGCGAGUAUUCAGAACCAAAUACACAAGGUCCCCUCAUCUGUGCAUAAUAAAGGGUGAUUUAUCCUUAAUUAGUUAGUUAGUCAGUCAGUCUCAGACGUUUCCUUAUUUUCUUUGAGAUGUUUUCAACAUGUGAAUGUCAAAACAGAGUGCUGUCAAGUUGCAGACCAAGAAAAUUGGCUGAUGGUACUGUCUCCAGACUGUUGUUGCCCAUGGGGACAUUUAGUGUUCAACUGAUGAUGCUAUCUUGCGUAGCUUGGGGUCACUACAAACAAUCAUUAACUAGGUCUUCUCAGCCAUUCUAUUUUCUAUAGGCCAGGUAUUUAUAGAGGACAACUCAGCACACAGAGAGGCUGCUACUUCGUCUAUCUGCUUACCGGAUGCUAGUUGUGCGGAGUCGUCAGCAUACAUUUUGGUGAUGGUACUCGAGUUGGGAAGGGGUAGAUCAUGAAUAUAAUAAAUAGUUAUGGACCCAGGAUGGAGCUCUCAGGUGCACCUGAUGCACCACAUGAAGAGCAUUAGAGAGUUGUCUACUGAUACUUUCUGUUUACGGUCCAUUUGGUAGGAGUUAAACCAUGUUAUUGUUGACUCAGAGAGGUUGAGAGAGAAAUGGCAAGUUUCUUUAACAGAAUCUUGUGGUCCACAAGAUCGAAUGCCUUUCGGUAGUCAAUCAGUGUAAUCCCGUUGAUCACCCCGUUGUCCAUGUUUGUCAGAAGAACGCGUCCACUAAGUCAAUCAUAGCCGUCUCACAGGAGUGUUGAGGUUUGAAUCCAGACUGGUAAGGGCUUAGUAGAGAGUAAGGACGCAGCUGCUUUGUCUCCUAUUAUCUUUGUUUUACAAAGGAGUUCUUUUGUCUCUUUUCUUCUCGUUCUGUGUCGAGGUGCGGAUAUUGUUCAUUUGCCCAACCAAAUUGCAGCUUGUAAGAGCUGCGUACCGACCCUUAGUAGAUGAUGGUCAUUCAGGAAGUUGUAUAACGUCAGGUGGAUAUGUCUCUUGAGGACUUUGGAGACAAUGGGCAGGAUGCUACUUGGUAUCUUUAGUUAUCAUUUUCAGUACAAGGAAAUAUAGUAAUAAUGUAUAUUUACGCUAUGUAUAUAUACAAUAAAAUCUGCAAACGGUUUGA